GGAGGUUGGCNUUGGACGAGAUCCUCGCCAANCCGGUCAGGUCCGGAAGGAAGCAGCCGUAACGAGUCGUUCUCGGGUCAUUAGUUCAACCUCCCAC
This 97-nucleotide signal recognition particle RNA is filed under the name Rhodospirillaceae bacterium. RNAcentral's name for it is "signal recognition particle sRNA small type". It matches the Rfam family "Bacterial small signal recognition particle RNA". Rfam says of the family: The signal recognition particle (SRP) is a universally conserved ribonucleoprotein involved in the co-translational targeting of proteins to membranes. Lineage: Bacteria; Pseudomonadati; Pseudomonadota; Alphaproteobacteria; Rhodospirillales; Rhodospirillaceae. The record is from RNAcentral.